UAACUAAAAUCUAAUGUGUUUUUUUUUUAAAUAAGUGUAAAAGAACUAAAACAUACAUUUUUCUGAAACGGAAAGAGUAACAUUAUAAAAUUAAAAUUGAAACAAUUUUUAUUUAACUGUUUAGUUCUGAUUUCUAGGUUUGCUAUAUGCAUGUUUAUUAACUGAUCUUAGUAAGCAAUGAAAAUUUGAUCGAGUACGUCAGAUUAUUAUAUGGACAAACCCAGUUUUAUCAAGAAAUAAUUAAAAAACAGUGAAUGAAAAAAACGAUGGGGGGCAAGAUAAUUGUGAUGAUAGGGGGAAAUAUUUAAUUUCCUUAACAAUUUACAUUACGUGUAUUUUAUGAGGGCAGCUGCCACCUAUCAGGACCGGCACUAGAAAGUCUCUCUCCUCUUCUCCGUUCUCUCACUACGACCUUUCACGGAGAAGGAGAUGAGACUUUCGAUUUUUGUUUCUGUAUUAUAAUCUUCGAUCAAGUGAUCGAUUUCAUCUUCGCUAGGCGAUUAGACUUUCGUUAGGCGACUUUUGUUGUGUUUGUUCAAAUCAAAUCAGUUUUGUUCUUCAAAUCUCUUUCUUAUUUCUGAUUUGGUUUGAAUCAAUAAAGAUCCGAUCUUGUUUUGAUCGGUGAUUUCAAUCUCCCCCUUCGCAAACUAUUUCAAAUCCCGUUUAGUUUAUAGUCUGAUUUUCUUCUCCCAAAGAUUAUCCCCAUAUACUUUGUUUAUAGGAGUCAAUCUUUACUCUCACUCUGAUGUGAGCCAUGAUUGGCGAUUGGGUAAAGUUUCCUUGCUACAAGGUAUUAUGAGUUAUUGGAUUUAUCUCGAGUGAUUUCUCGGAGGCUUAGUUGAAUCGGCAUCUUGAAGAUGGUCCGAUAAAAGUCUUUCCCUGAAUCAAAUUUCGAGUCUUUCCCAGAACUUAUAAAUCGGCGAUGCAGAAGUCAGGCUAUAAACAAUGGUUUGGGCGGAGGAUUGGAGAAAGAUGGGAUCGGGAAGUGAUGGAAAAGACAAAGAUGCAUCCAUCUUCGCGGAGGAGCCCAGGCGGCGGAAAGCUUACGGUCAUCGGAGAAUACACCUUUGUGCAUGAGGGACACGUGUUAAAACACGCGUUGUAACAUGCCCUAAAGGAUGGACGCGUAGUUAUGAUGAUAAUGAUGGCCGAAAACUUUGCUGAAUUGGAUAUGGGCCUUUUAAUUUAACUUGUAAAUGGUAUCUUUGUUUGGGCUUUAAUGUAAACCUGAUUCAUGUAUCUUUAGCGUGAGGGCUUAUGAAAUGAAAUCAGAGUUGACAAAAAAAAAA
Molecule: long non-coding RNA, 1289 nt
Organism: Brassica rapa (field mustard)
Lineage: Eukaryota; Viridiplantae; Streptophyta; Magnoliopsida; Brassicales; Brassicaceae
Source: RefSeq, a predicted model, not a curated record